AUGGCGACCGGCGCACGGGUGAGUAACACGUAUCCAACCUGCCGAUGACUCGGGGAUAGCCUUUCGAAAGAAGGAUUAAUACCCGAUGGCAUAGUUCUUCCGCAUGGUAGAACUAUUAAAGAAUUUCGGUCAUCGAUGGGGAUGCGUUCCAUUAGGUUGCUGGCGGGGUAACGGCCCACCAAGCCUUCGAUGGAUAGGGGUUCUGAGAGGAAGGUCCCCCACAUUGGAACUGAGACACGGUCCAAACUCCUACGGGAGGCAGCAUG
This 266-nucleotide ribosomal RNA is filed under the name uncultured bacterium. RNAcentral describes it as "partial 16S ribosomal RNA". It matches the Rfam family "Bacterial small subunit ribosomal RNA", at positions 88 to 353 of the family's 1533-position model. The record is from RNAcentral.